RNAcentral lists this unclassified non-coding RNA (290 nucleotides) under uncultured fungus. RNAcentral's name for it is "partial contains 5.8S ribosomal RNA, internal transcribed spacer 2, and large subunit ribosomal RNA". The stretch from base 1 to 52 matches the Rfam family "5.8S ribosomal RNA", at positions 103 to 154 of the family's 154-position model. The record is from RNAcentral. Lineage: Eukaryota; Fungi.
AACGCACCUUGCGCCCCGUGGUAUUCCGCGGGGCAUGCCUGUUUGAGUGUCACGUGAAACCUCAUUAGAGUGAUGUCAAAGUCGCUUCUAAUGGACUUGGACUGUGCCGUAGUUGGCUCGUCCUGAAAUGCAUUAGCCGGGUCGCCUGACCGUGCUGGCCUUGGUGUGAUAAUUAUCUGCGCCUGUAAGUGCUUUGCGGUUCGGAGCGGUGCGGCUCACAGCCGUCCGAGAGGACAAUCACUAUAUAACGCUUUGGCCUCAAAUCAGGUAGGACUACCCGCUGAACUUAA